AUGCUGCAGAGCAAGUCCUUCGUCAAGAAGACGAAGCAGGGCCGCGUCGUCAAGGUGGUCCGGGAGCACUACCUCCGCGACGACAUCCCCUGCGGCGCCUUCUCCUGCUCCUCCUGCGACGCGGCCGCGCGCCGCCUCAACGCCGACGCCGCCGCCAUCCUCGUCGUCGACACCAACGUCGUGCUCCACCAGAUCGAUUUGUUGGAGAAUCCGGCGAUUGAGGAUGUCGUGGUGCUGUCGGUGGUGCUGGACGAAGUGAAGAAUAAGAACCUCUCCGUGUACAACAGGCUCAAGACCCUGUGCACCAACACGGCUCGGAGGUUCUUCGUGUUCACCAACGAGCACCACAGGGAUACUUAUGUCAAGGAGAUGGUUGGAGAGAGCCCAAAUGAUCGUAAUGAUAGAGCAAUCCGUGUCGCUGCUCGUUGGUACCAGAGUCACCUCGGUGACAGUGCCAAAGUGCUGCUGGUCACAAAUGAUAGAGAUAACAAACGGAAAGCUACUGAAGAAGGCCUAAAUGCAGAGACAGUUGAGUCAUAUGUACGAUCGCUUGCGCAGCCUGGUUUGCUCGAUUUGGUGGUUGUCCCAAGUAGCGGAGAUGUUGCCAUGGAAGAUGUAGAAGAUCUUAGACCAUCCAAAAGGAAAAUAGUUUACAAUGAGCAUAAACCUAUGUCGGAAAUUACAUCUGGUCUGCGCUGUGGAAUUUAUCAUCAAGGGAAGCUUCGAGUUAAUCGUUACAAUCCAUUUGAAGCAUAUGUUGGAAGUGAGAGCAUUGGGGAUGAGAUUAUUAUCCGUGGGAGUUCAAAUAUGAACAGGUCCUUUGACGGAGAUAUAGUUGCUGUAGAACUCUUGCCACAGGACCAGUGGCAUGAUUCGAAGUCAUUUAUUGCUGAUGAUGAUGAAGAUGAUAAUGAAGAUGAUGUCCGGUUGGUUCCAAAUAGUGCUGAUGAUGCUCCACGAAACACAAAUUCCACGCAAUCAACAGUUGGAUCAUCAGCUGCUUCAGUCCCCAGUCGUCCAGUUGGACGUGUUGUUGGUAUCAUCAAGCGGAAUUGGAAUUCGUAUUGUGGAUCAUUGGAGCCAAUGCCCAUGCCUGCUGGUAGUGGGGGCGUUGCUCAUGCUCUAUUUGUGUCGAAAGAUCGACGAAUUCCUAAGAUUCGGAUUCAAACUAGACAACUUGGGAAUCUUUUAAAUAAAAGGAUUAUCGUUGCAGUUGAUUCAUGGGAUGUCAUGUCUCGAUACCCAUCAGGACACUAUGUGCGGACUAUAGGAGAUAUUGGCGAUAAAGAAACUGAAACAGAGGUUGUCCUAAUAGAGAAUGAUAUUAACACAAGACCUUUCUCUACACAAGUCCUUGCUUGUUUGCCGCCUUUGCCUUGGACAUUGUCACCCGAGGAUGUGGCUAAUCCUAAUAGGCAAGACUUGCGGCAUGUGAGAGUCUUUAGUGUGGAUCCACCUGGUUGUAGGGAUAUUGAUGAUGCACUACAUUGCACACCGCUUCCAAAUGGAAAUUUUGAAGUUGGAGUCCAUAUUGCUGAUGUCACUAAUUUUGUCCAUCCUGGUACCCCUCUUGAUGAGGAGGCCUCUCAAAGGGCAACUUCUGUUUAUCUUGUUGGACAACGAAUUGACAUGCUACCGAAGCCUCUAACUGAAGAUGUUUGUUCUCUUCGUGCUGAUGUUGAGAGGCUGGCAUUCUCCGUCAUUUGGGAAAUGACACCUGAUGCUGAUAUCAUAUCUUCAAGAUACACAAAGAGUGUUAUCAAGUCUUGUGCUGCAAUGUCUUAUGUAGAAGCCCAAGCAAGAAUGGAUGACAGCCGUUUGGCCGAUCCACUGACUGUAGACUUGCGGAACUUAAAUUCAUUAGCAAAGAUAAUGAGAAAUCGACGUUGCGAAAGAGGGGCUCUGACUCUUGCUUCAGCAGAAGUCAAAUUCGAAAUUGACAGUGAAACUCAUGAUCCCCUCGACAUAGGAAUAUAUCAAAUUCGUGAAGCAAACCAAAUGAUUGAAGAGUUUAUGUUGGCAGCAAAUGUUUCUGUUGCUGAGAAGAUUUUGCAGCACUACCCCUUGUGUUCAUUGCUACGGCGUCAUCCUAGCCCAACAAAGGAGAUGCUUGAGCCAUUACUCCGUACCGCCUCUUCUGUUGGCCUAAAUCUGGACGUAUCAUCCUCAAAAGCAUUAGCUGAAUCACUUGAUAAUGCGAAGAGAGAUGACCCAUACUUCAACAAGCUUAUCCGGAUUUUGGCAACUAGAUGCAUGACACAAGCAGUUUACUUUUGCAGUGGAGAUUUGAGCUUGUCUGAGUAUUAUCAUUAUGGGCUUGCAUCUGCUCUGUACACUCAUUUCACUUCUCCUAUUCGCAGAUAUGCAGAUGUUGUGGUGCAUAGGUUGCUAGCUGCUGCUCUAGAUAUUGCGAAACUUCCACCAGUCUUCCAGGAUGGUCCACAACUCACAGGCAUUGCUGACAACUUGAAUUAUAGGCACAGAAAUGCCCAAAUGGCAAGCAGAGCAUCGGUUGAGCUCCACACUCUUAUAUAUUUCAGGACAAGGCCCGUGGAUACUGAAGCUAGAAUAGUAAAGAUCAAGGCAAAUGGUUUCAUAGUCUUCGUUCCAAAGUUUGGCAUAGAAGGGCCCAUCUAUCUUAUGGCGAAGGGAGACAAAGGGGCUGACUGGGUAGUAGACGAGGUGCACCAGAAAGUAACCAAGCCUGGAACAAACAUAAGCUAUGCUGUGUUGCAGAGUGUUAUGAUCCAUAUGGAAGUGGUGGAGCCUCAGCCCCACCGCCCCAAGCUGCAGCUCACCCUGAUAUGA
Molecule: ribosomal RNA, 2808 nt
Filed under: Triticum aestivum (bread wheat)
Lineage: Eukaryota; Viridiplantae; Streptophyta; Magnoliopsida; Poales; Poaceae
Description: partial small subunit ribosomal RNA
Source: RNAcentral